This is an RNA transcript of Limulus polyphemus (Atlantic horseshoe crab), 1127 nucleotides long. RefSeq lists it as uncharacterized. The transcript has 2 exons. Lineage: Eukaryota; Metazoa; Arthropoda; Merostomata; Xiphosura; Limulidae. The record is from RefSeq and is a predicted model, not a curated record.
GAUAAUGUAAUGUGUAAUACAAGUCUCUGAUGCUGUCAUAAAGUUCAAGCCUAGAAAAUAUUUAAUGGAAGUUUUGAAUGGACAUAAUGUGGACCUAAAAUUCCCGAAUGUCGUUUUUUACAUUUAGAAGAGAGUGGGGAUCGGUACAUUCACAAAAAUUAUACGGAACGUUAGUGUACAUCGUCACUUCAGAGGAGAAUCUAGAGAGUUAAAUUAAUCUUUCUAUGUACAGGUUAAAGUUAUUGCAGCUGUUAAUAAAGUAACAAUGGGAAGCUAGUUCUUCUGUACUGAUACACCUACAUAACCUGAUGCUGCAAUACAUAGCUACGAUACAUAUACAAGCUUUUAAUCUAUAGCGGUGUUGCUUCACUAUCACAUCAUCGCGUAUUUGCGAAGUCUUCCAGUCUAUCUGUCAUAAUACAAGUUUCAAUCAAAUGGAUAUUGGACGACCAUACUAUGGAAUUGGCUUAUUUUUUUCUGCAGGGUUUUUCACCGUCAUCAUUGGUGUACUAGUCCAAUUUACCAAAGACAGGAUAUUUAUGGAUGUUAUGGGCUUAUCUCAAGUAGUCCGAAUAUUUAUUAUUUCACCUCUGAUCGUUUUCCGAAAUGUAAAGUUCAUCUACGAGCGAAGAACGAUUCUGUUAACCUCUCUCCGUUGUCUUACUGGAGCGUUAGGAGAUACUUUUCUCUAUUAUUCCUACACUCUUCUUCCUGUUGGCGACGCAACUGCCAUUUGUUCUACGAACUCAGUUUUCGCCGAAUUUUGUUUCCAGUAUCCUUUGUAUUUUUGGUGUGGUAAUUAUUUCUCAACCAAGUUUUUUAUUUGCUUUAGACAAACAUCCUUCCUUAAAUUACAAAGGAAUUGCUGCGGCAAUAGCUGCAACUAUUCUGGAUUCGUUGUCUUUCAACUUUAAUACCCUUUUAGGUAACGUUAAUCAUAUUUUCAUUACAACGUGUCUGAGCAUAAAUACGAUUCUCUUGUGGGUUUUGAGUUUAAUAAGCGAUAAGCGUCUCCCCGUAUUAGGGUUUGCUGAUUGUUCCUGGACCAAUCUGUACAUCACUGCUAUAGGAUUAGCUGGGUUGUUGAAUGUUCUUACUAUCACACGAGGAUUUCAAUUAGUUGAAGC